This 2285-nucleotide long non-coding RNA is filed under the name Homo sapiens (human). RNAcentral describes it as "HSALNT0040655". Lineage: Eukaryota; Metazoa; Chordata; Mammalia; Primates; Hominidae. The record is from RNAcentral.
AAAUAUGGUGAAAUAUAUUUAUUACCUAUGAAGUGUAACACUUCAUAUGCAGUCAGCAGAGUGCAGUAAAAAGAAUACUACACCCUGCGAAAGAAUACUUGAUUGUGAGAGCUAAAUUUGGCAUUUAUUAUCUGUGAGAUAUUGACAGAUCACUUUUCAAUUUACAUCUCAGUAUUCUGAUAGCAAAAUGGAACAAUAAUGACAUUCUUAAAUUGCUACUGUGAAAACCAACUGAGACAUAAAGUGAGAAGUGAUUUUCAAGCAUAGAAAAGAUAUUAAAGACGUAAAGCAUAUAUUUGUAUGUAUAUUCUGUGUAUGUAUGUUUACAUAUAUUUGUAUAUAUGUUCUGAUUUUAAAAUAUGUAAUUAUUGUAAACAGAUGCAAUAUUAUAUUGUGAAACACAGGAAACAUUAAAAAAUUAUGGACAGGGUAAGACGCUGUCUCAAAAAAGUAGGAUCACAAAUAACCUAAAAUAUAAAAAAAAUCAGUUUAAUUUCUCUGUAAAAUUCUAUAAAUAUUGCUAUUUUAUACUUUAUGUAUUUAAAUUAUGUCUGAGCUAAAAAUUUUGGGGUUUUCAUUAUUAGCAUAAACACCUUUGUAAAUAAAUACAUAUACUUUUUUUCAGAAAAAAAUACUUGAAGUAGAUUUAUUAAGUCACAUUGGUGAAGAUAUUUAUAGCCAAUUUUCCUCUGGAACUUAAUGCUAACUUUGGAUCCUCUAAGUAGUGAAUCAGAAGUCUUGGGUAUUUAUCACUUAAAACAAAUCUUUGAUAGUUCAAUAGUUAAAAAAUAUUGGUCUUUCAAUAAGUAUAUUUUGGCUUACUAGAAUAAAUCAUUUUUAAAAUUAUUGGGCAUCUUAUUAAUGUUGUUUAUUUUUCUAUGAGGUAAUUAGUCUCUUAUUUUAUUAAUUUGUAUGCUAAUUUGCUGAACUCCAGUAUUCUUAUCUGCAGUAUGGGGAGAAUAAUCCUUCUCAUGGAGAGUUUUUUAAAAAUUGGGUCAUUAAAUGACAUAAUAUAACCUAGAUUUUGGAGAAAAUUAUUAAUAGAAUGUAAAAGGUAUCAUAGUGAAUAAGGUAGCAUUAGAAGAUUAAUUAUAAUGUUCCAUAGCUCAUGUUUUUUUUUAAAUAUAGAGUUCUAGAAAAACAAAAUUAUGAAAUCAAUUACUACAAAUUAUUUCAUAGAAUGAACUACAUAAUUAUAUGUUUUCUAUAUUUUUUCCUGGAAAUUGAUUCAACCAAUAAAUAUUUAUUAAUCACCUAAUAGAUCUAGUCACCUUGCUGGCUGGGAGAGCACAUAUUGUAUAAUUUAAAAAUAGAUAUUAAUAAUGUAUAUCACUCUAAUAGGAUCAAAAGUUAACUGUUAAAUGUUCUAUGGGUGAAUGUGUAAACAGAUUGUGAUUCAUCCCCACAAAAUAAUAUGACUUAGCAAUAUAAAAGAAAACAUUCUUGAGACAUGCAACAAAUUGGAUGGAUCUCAAGGGCAUUAUGCUAAGUGUAAAAGGGAAUUUCAAAAGCUUGCAUUUGGUAUGAUUCCACUUGUAUACUAUUCUGGAAAUAAUAAAAUUAUAGUGUUGGGGAACACAUCAGUGGCAGUCAAGGGUUAAGGCUGUGGGAAGGCUGGGACUAGAAGAUUGUAGCAAGGGCAGUUUUGUUUGGAAUGAAAGAAUAUUACUAUAUCCUGAUUUUUGUGGUGGUUACAAAUCUACACAUGUGAAACAAUCGUAUAGAACUAUACACACACACACACACGCACAUAAAGUGUGUCCAUAAAAACCUAGUGAAAUAUGUCUGAAGUCUGUAAUUUAGUUAAUAGUAUUAAGCCAAUGUCAAUUUCCUGGUUUUGAUUGUUAUACUUUGGCUAUGUAAAAUGUUGUCAUUGCAGGUAUCCGGGUGAAGGAUGCCUUAGAAUGCUCUGCAGUAUGUUUACAACUUCUAUAUAAAUAUAUUUUCAAACGUCAAUAGUUGAAAAAUACAUAACCAUUGUUCUAUAUACUGUACAGUCUUCAAUAUUAUCAUAGUUGAUUAUGACUGAAAUAUAGUUAAUUCCAACAAGAUAGGACCCAUGUACAAUGUAUUACCACUCCAUCUCCAACACCUGUAAUGUUUCCUGGAAUAUAGAAGGCACUCAAUAAACACUGCUGACUGAAAAAAUUAACACAAAAAUUAUCAAGUAGGUGAAUCUGAAAUAAAUAAGCUAAUUGCAUAUUGUUGUAGUUUUAGAUUGUUUCUAACUUCUGCAGAUACAAUGUCACCACAAAGAGCAUCUUCAUUGAUACAGUUUCUCCCCU